UGGGGAAUAUUGCACAAUGGGCGAAAGCCUGAUGCAGCAACGCCGCGUGAGGGAAGACGGUCUUCGGAUUGUAAACCUCUGUCCUUGGUGAAGAAACAUGACGGUAGCCAUGGAGGAAGCCACGGCUAACUACGUGCCAGCAGCCGCGGUAAUACGUAGGUGGCAAGCGUUGUCCGGAUUUACUGGGUGUAAAGGGAGCGCAGGCGGGAAGGCAAGUCAGCUGUGAAAACUAUGGGCUUAACCCAUAGACUGCAGUUGAAACUGUUUUUCUUGAGUGGAGUAGAGGUAAGCGGAAUUCCGAGUGUAGCGGUGAAAUGCGUAGAGAUAAGGAAGAACACCAGUGGCGAAGGCGAUCUACUGGACAGUAACUGACGCUGAGGCGCGAAAGCGUGGGGAGCAAACAGGAUUAGAUACCCUGAUAGU
RNAcentral lists this ribosomal RNA (423 nucleotides) under uncultured Eubacterium sp. RNAcentral describes it as "bacterial SSU rRNA". It matches the Rfam family "Bacterial small subunit ribosomal RNA", at positions 355 to 794 of the family's 1533-position model. Lineage: Bacteria; Bacillati; Bacillota; Clostridia; Eubacteriales; Eubacteriaceae. The record is from RNAcentral.